This 74-nucleotide transfer RNA is filed under the name Apaloderma vittatum (bar-tailed trogon). It matches the Rfam family "tRNA". Rfam says of the family: Transfer RNA (tRNA) molecules are approximately 80 nucleotides in length. Their secondary structure includes four short double-helical elements and three loops (D, anti-codon, and T loops). The record is from Rfam by way of RNAcentral. Lineage: Eukaryota; Metazoa; Chordata; Aves; Trogoniformes; Trogonidae.
AGGCGGUUAGCUCAGUCAGUUAGAGUGUGGUACUGAUAACACCAAGGUUGUGGGUGCGAUCCCCAUUCGGUCCC